AGUGAACGCUGGCGGUAGGCCUAACACAUGCAAGUCGAACGGCAGCACAGUAAGAGCUUGCUCUUACGGGUGGCGAGUGGCGGACGGGUGAGGAAUACAUCGGAAUCUACUUUUUCGUGGGGGAUAACGUAGGGAAACUUACGCUAAUACCGCAUACGACCUACGGGUGAAAGCAGGGGAUCUUCGGACCUUGCGCGAUUGAAUGAGCCGAUGUCGGAUUAGCUAGUUGGCGGGGUAAAGGCCCACCAAGGCGACGAUCCGUAGCUGGUCUGAGAGGAUGAUCAGCCACGCUGGAACUGAGACACGGUCCAGACUCCUACGGGAGGCAGCAGUGGGGAAUAUUGGACAAUGGGCGCAAGCCUGAUCCAGCCAUACCGCGUGGGUGAAGAAGGCCUUCGGGUUGUAAAGCCCUUUUGUUGGGAAAGAAAAGCAGCAGGUUAAUACCCCGCUGUUCUGACGGUACCCAAAGAAUAGGCACCGGCUAACUUCGU
This 491-nucleotide ribosomal RNA is filed under the name uncultured bacterium. Its description in RNAcentral is "partial 16S ribosomal RNA". It matches the Rfam family "Bacterial small subunit ribosomal RNA", at positions 29 to 506 of the family's 1533-position model. The record is from RNAcentral.